CAAGAUGUAGCUUAAACAAAGCAUCUGGCCUA
This 32-nucleotide transfer RNA is filed under the name Viverricula indica (small Indian civet). RNAcentral describes it as "partial tRNA-Val". Lineage: Eukaryota; Metazoa; Chordata; Mammalia; Carnivora; Viverridae. The record is from RNAcentral.